This 253-nucleotide ribosomal RNA is filed under the name uncultured bacterium. RNAcentral's name for it is "partial 16S ribosomal RNA". It matches the Rfam family "Bacterial small subunit ribosomal RNA", at positions 524 to 776 of the family's 1533-position model. The record is from RNAcentral.
AACGUAGGUUCCGAGCGUUAUCCGGAUUUACUGGGCGUAAAGCGCGUUCAGGCGGUUUGGCAAGUCGGGCAUGAAAUCUCUCGGCUCAACCGGGAGAGGUUGUCCGAUACUGCUGGACUUGAGGGUAGUAGAGGGUGGUGGAAUUCCGGGUGUAGUGGUGAAAUGCGUAGAUAUCCGGAGGAACACCAGUGGCGAAAGCGGCCACCUGGACUGUACCUGACGCUAACACGCGAAAGCUAGGGGAGCGAACGGG